GCAAACUUGGUCAUUUAGAGGAAGUAAAAGUCGUAACAAGGUUUCCGUAGGUGAACCUGCGGAAGGAUCAUUAUUGAAUACACUCGGUUAGAUUGUUGCUGGCUCUCUUUCUUAGGAGCAUGUGCACAUUUAAUCCACUUUUUAAUCCCCUGUGCACCUUGUAUAGACAUUGAACACCUUUCGAGAAAUAACUGCUCGGCCUGAGGAUUGCUGUUAUUUAAUUUAAUAAACACCAGCUUUUCUUGUGUUUUCAAUUCUAUGCCUCUCACACACACAUAACAAAACCAUUAGAAUGUAUUUGAAUGUUGUCAAUAGUGCCUAUAGAAAAAAAUGUACAACUUUCAACAACGGAUCUCUUGGCUCUCGCAUCGAUGAAGAACGCAGC
This 385-nucleotide unclassified non-coding RNA is filed under the name uncultured fungus. RNAcentral's name for it is "partial contains small subunit ribosomal RNA, internal transcribed spacer 1, and 5.8S ribosomal RNA". The stretch from base 1 to 73 matches the Rfam family "Eukaryotic small subunit ribosomal RNA", at positions 1759 to 1831 of the family's 1831-position model. Lineage: Eukaryota; Fungi. The record is from RNAcentral.